Long non-coding RNA from Nymphaea colorata (pocket water lily), 745 nucleotides. RefSeq lists it as uncharacterized. The record is from RefSeq and is a predicted model, not a curated record. The transcript has 4 exons. Lineage: Eukaryota; Viridiplantae; Streptophyta; Magnoliopsida; Nymphaeales; Nymphaeaceae.
GAUCUGCCCCGGCAAUACAGACUCUGGCAAUACGGUAGAUGACUCGAACCCACCUAUGGAACCCGGAACGCCAGCAUCGUUCCUUUGUUUCUUUCCCCUAAAAUUUCCCUGCUAAUCCGAAAAGCUUCCUGCCAUUGUUCGAGUUAUCGUCUCAGUUGCCGUCGGCGCCCGCCCUAGAUUCAACUUCAUCGUUGUCGUCGAUGGCCGUAAGCAUUACCAUCUUCACAAGCACGCCGUCGACGAGCUACUACCUCUCAGAGUGAGGUUCAAUUCUCAUUGAGGUUUAUCACUUGGUUGUGAAACUUGCAAAUUUUGACAAGGAGAGAUAACAGGCGGACAUGUGAAGAAAAGGCCUCUGUAGUUAAUGGAACAGACACUGGUGCGGGUGUGGACAUGCGGGUGGACAUGGCGCAUGCAGUGUUGGGUAUGGUCAGCGUACCCAAGGUCGUGUUCGACCAUUUUUGGACAGGGAACAGCUGAUAUUGUGAUGCAAUGUGUAUGGCAAUUUGAGGAGAACAAUGUGAUGGAAUUUCUUAUUCUUGCUGGGCGUAUAACCAAUGGAUUAUGAAAGCUUCGUCCAAGCUUACAGAGAAACUGGUACAGAUAUUACUGUUGCCGCACUGCAUGGAUAAGAGGCAGGCUAGUGCAUUUUUCUGGUAGAGAUCAUUGCUGAAAGAUUUGUUUGUAAGAUUGUUUUUGUAAUAAUGGAAUUCAAACUUUUAAAAAGCUCCUCCCUCUCUCUAUA